This is a long non-coding RNA of Dermacentor andersoni, 1249 nucleotides long. RefSeq lists it as uncharacterized. NCBI's taxonomy places the organism in Eukaryota, Metazoa, Arthropoda, Arachnida, Ixodida, Ixodidae. The record is from RefSeq and is a predicted model, not a curated record.
AGCUGGUGCACGCUGUUUGCUUGAGAGCUUGCUGCGUUUGCUGCGUUCUUUGUAUGCUUCGCUGUGACUUCUUUGGAAUAUUCCUGCAUAUUGCUCGCAUUUUAUGGGCUUGUUGCCCCGAAGAUCGGCCUGAUCGCCUCCGACUCGGCAUCCGAGCGGCAUCAAAGAUUCAAAAUGAGCUGAGAGACACCCAAGCUGGAAUGCUAAAGGAAGCAGAAAAAACAACAUUGCUGAUGCAACUACAAGCAUUUCCUCCAGUGAUCAAUUGGUGCAGAGUGCCUUCAGUAGCAGACAUGAUGCCUUUAAGCACUCAGCUGAAAGGCUUUGCAACUGCACCGAGACUGGGGGUGAAUUUCAGUGUCACUUCUGAAUAUAUUAAACAUUGAAUGUGCCUUCUUCAGGGUACAUGCCUGAUAUAAGAGGGGCUUUCAGGAACUUCCAGUGCACAUUAGUGGUCUACAUAAGUGCACAUCUUUCUAGUUUCACCAGAAUGAAGGUAUUAUGACCUAUGUCAUACAGCAGCGCACUGCUAGGGGUAUCACACCAAAACAGCAACACCCAUUGAGAAAGUUGGCUGAAGAACGAGCAGUGAUGGGGCUUUUCACAUUUCAAAGGCCAAAUUCCAAAGAUUGAUGCCGAGCUGGACGGUGUGCAGUGCCGGUCGCCACAUACUGUAGCCAGCAUGGCAUGAAUAUCCUUGGCAUUAUGUCUCUUUAAGAUACAGAAAUUGCAUCACUGCUCAUAAAACAAUUGGAAAUUGGGAUGUUGAGGGGAGGUGGCAGGGCUGCCCUCUGGAGCAGCCAGUGCAUGCCCUCUGCUAUACUGUCAAUCCUGCCCUAAUGAGAACCAGUGGUGCAUGUUAUAGUAUUACGCAGUCAAGUGCAUUCGUUGUUUUGUGUUAAGGUGACACUAAUGACACCCCAAAUCAAGUUACAAUAAAAAAGCGUCGUUUUCAGUAUCUAAUUAUGUUAACUUCUUGGUAGAUGGUUGAUUAUUAGAGAAAAUAAAGCUCUAAGUUCAAUUUUCUGAGUAUCGCCCCAAAAUCUUCGUACUGACAUCUCAUUUUCACAUCGUGGAUUUCAAGUAUUUUUACAAACUUGGGUUGUAUUGGUUAAGUAAAAGUUCCUGACGGUUUUUAUUUUGGGUGUUUGGCUUUUUGGAAUACGAUGAACAUCUUUAUUUGUAAAAAAAAAAUUGCAGCUCCUGAACAGACAUCAAAAUCAAUGACGUCACAGCAAGCUCGUGUGGC